CUCCAUUUUAGGGUUACCGUAGUUCAUAUAUGAAAAAGUAACACUUCUUUUACUUUACUCAUUUUAGGACCUCCCUUAACUUGGCAAACAUACAAGGCCAUUACUAAAGGGUGCAUACGUCAUGGAAAUUUUCCUGUCUUAGUUCAAGAUGGCAUCUUAAAGUCUGAACAUCCUUAUCUACUAAGGUUACCACAGUAUAUUACAUACUGAAAGAGUCGUAGCAUAGCCUUGAAGCUUGUUUAUGCAUUAUUGUUAUUGUAAUUCGUCUGGGACAAAAUGGUGCAAACAUAUUAUGCACUGAGGUUAUUGCUUAAAGAAACAGUUAUGAAAAAUAAUAUGUUCCAUUUCUAACACCUUGUCAGUUUGCAAUAUC
This is a non-coding RNA of Pelobates cultripes (western spadefoot toad), 373 nucleotides long. The record is from the annotation of a GenBank genome assembly. NCBI's taxonomy places the organism in Eukaryota, Metazoa, Chordata, Amphibia, Anura, Pelobatidae.